This is a long non-coding RNA of Osmerus eperlanus (European smelt), 1102 nucleotides long. RefSeq lists it as uncharacterized. The record is from RefSeq and is a predicted model, not a curated record. NCBI's taxonomy places the organism in Eukaryota, Metazoa, Chordata, Actinopteri, Osmeriformes, Osmeridae. The transcript is spliced from 3 exons.
CACUGGCCGUUCUGCAAGACGUCCCGGUGGAACCAGUCUAUGCACCAAAACAAAAAAUAUCGAGCGCGGUACCGAGCGAGGGGACGGUAAAUAGAUAUUGCAAUAAUAACAAUCCCCUACAAAUGGUUGUCUCCCUUCGUAGAGGCAACAACAGAUGGGUGCCUGCUAGACAGCUGCAGUGUUUCCGCUGGAACAGGAGUUCAGUGUUGUCACGACAACGGCUGUCAAACAUAGUCUCAGGACAUUUAUGAAGCUUUCAAGGCCUUUUGACUGAUCAGCCAAUCAAUGGGGAUUCUCCGAGGAGCUCCUUCCUGCGUGGCCCGUGUCCCCCCUCCCCUCCGCCUCCUGCCCUCCCCCCUAACCUCCCCUCUGCCCUCCCCCAACAUGAAACUGUGGCUGACUGAAUGGCCAUUAAUAUGGAUUUUUACCUCAUCUAGACUGUAAAUCACAUGACAACACACGCACACACCUGUGUUGUACCAAAUCAACCUGCCCCUGCUGGGUAGAGACACACGACACACUCCCACACACACCGACUCUUUUCACACACUCUCAUCACUCCCACAGACACACUCACAUCACUCCCACACACACAGACACACUCUUUCUCACACCCCCACACGCACCUGGAAUGUACCCGUAGCCUCUGAGAGGCCGUCUUUGUUUCCGGAAGAAUCCAGAAGGCUCGGAUCGCCGUGUCGACAGCAACACAGUUCCAUAUUUUAUAUUUUAUAUUUAUUUUUGCUACCUGGUGACCUUGUGACCUUCCUCGUCGCCGCGGGAACCAGCUGGGAGGAGACGCGUGUCGUUGGCGUGCCGUUGGCGUGUUGUCCCACACGGGUGCAUGCCGGCCGCAAUGGCGCCCCAGAACACAGAGACUGAGAGCAUGGUGGUGCCGGGGGGGCUGGGGGGAGGGCAAGGCCCGGCGGGGGGGAAGGGUGGAGGCCGGGGGGAGGCGGGAGAGACCACGGAGGAGUGUGUGAGCGAGGGCUCCAUAGACCGCAUCCCUCUCAGACAGUGGGUCAUGCACGGAGCCGUGAUGUUCGGGAGAGAGUUCUGCUACGCCAUGGAGACCGCCUUGGUUACACCUGUCCUGCUGCAA